GCGCCCGUAGCUCAACGGAUAGAGCGUCGGUUUCCGGCGCCGAAGGCUGUGGGUUCGAAUCCCUCCGGGCGCGCCA
This 76-nucleotide transfer RNA is filed under the name Helicobacteraceae bacterium. RNAcentral describes it as "tRNA-Arg". It matches the Rfam family "tRNA". From Rfam's summary of the family: Transfer RNA (tRNA) molecules are approximately 80 nucleotides in length. Their secondary structure includes four short double-helical elements and three loops (D, anti-codon, and T loops). Lineage: Bacteria; Pseudomonadati; Campylobacterota; Epsilonproteobacteria; Campylobacterales; Helicobacteraceae. The record is from RNAcentral.